Molecule: RNA transcript, 2166 nt
Organism: Cheilinus undulatus (humphead wrasse)
Lineage: Eukaryota; Metazoa; Chordata; Actinopteri; Labriformes; Labridae
Gene name: 14-3-3 protein beta/alpha-1-like
Exons: 6
Source: RefSeq, a predicted model, not a curated record
UUUUCAUUAUGCACACGCAUGUCUGUUGCUGUUAUGACAAAUUCCGGUUCGUGUACAGUUAUAUGCUGUAACGGUAGCGUGACAUUUUUUUAUUGUAAGGAGUGGCCGAUGUAGCCGACACUAGCUAGCUUUACUAACGCGCUGGCUAGCUGCUCCAGACAGCUUUGUGGCGGGGUGCCGUGUGUAACGGGCUUACCAAAGAUCUUUGCUUUCAUAGGUGCCGUCAGCCUCAGCUAAGAAGACGAUUAUUGAGACAGAUAAUAAUAUUUCGACGUCGCGAUUUUUCAUGUUAGCCUGAAAGCUUUUUGAGUUACUGCUGGGAAUAACGUCGCCCUUCCCUUGCCACACAGACUCUUCGACAUAACAGCCUUUGACUGUCAAAUCCCCCCGAUUUCUGAUCCCUCAAUCCCCAAAAACAUUCAAAGUAUGGAUAGAACGGAGAAUAUUACUAUGGCCAAGCUGGCGGAGCAGGCUGAGCGCUACGAAGACAUGGCAGAAUUCAUGAAGAAAGUCACAGAGAUGGGAGUUGAGCUGUCAAACGAGGAGAGGAACCUGCUGUCCGUCGCCUACAAAAACGUGGUUGGGGCGAGGCGGUCCGCAUGGAGGGUGAUGUCCAGCAUCGGAUUGAAGACCGAGGGUUCUGAGAAGAAGCAGGAGACUGUCAAGGAGUACCGGGAGAAGGUGGAGAAGGAGCUGCAGGAGAUUUGCGAUAACGUUUUGAAACUGUUGGAUAAUCAUUUAAUUGGAAAUGCAUCAAAUUCUGAGAGCAAAGUCUUCUAUCUAAAGAUGAAGGGGGACUACUAUAGAUACCUUGCUGAAGUUGCCACUGGAGAGGCAAAAACAAAGACCAUUGAAAACUCACAGAUGGCAUAUGAUGAAGCGUUUAAAACCAGCGCGAAAGACAUGGAGCCCACACAUCCUAUCCGCCUGGGGUUGGCCCUCAACUUCUCUGUCUUUUACUACGAGAUCCUCAACUCCCCAGAAAAAGCCUGUGAACUGGCUAAGAAGCUUCAGCAUUCCCCUUUUGCUUUCAGGCGUUCGAUGAUGCCAUUGCUGAGCUGGACCAGCUAAAUGAGGAGUCCUACAAAGACAGCACUCUAAUCAUGCAGCUCCUCAGAGACAACCUGACUUUAUGGACAUCUGACAAUGCCCCUGAGGAAGGUGAAGGUGGAGACUGUGGAGAGGGCGGCGAGAAUGAGAAUUAAGACAACCCCUCGGCAUUGUGGGUCAUCUCUGAAAACAAGAAAAGGAAAAAAAAACUUUUUACACAUCCUUCAUUCCUUAUUGCUCCACUCAAACAUUCUACCAAUGAAACCCAUUGCUGAAAAAAAAAAAGUUGUGUAAGGAAAAAUGACAAAAUUAUGAUUUUCACAACGUAGAUUUGGAUAAGUGGUGAAAAGAGAAGCCCUCCAUUCCUAUGAUUUGUGUUUUGUCCUGGCCUUCUCAUUUGUGCAGUCUCAGCUGUAGAAAGUGAUUGCUAGCUUGACAUGAUCUCAGAAUCUGGGUUUGAUUAAGAGGCAGAUUUAUGUAUGCCCUAUUAUUGAACAAUAGGAAGCCUAAAUCCCAUCAACUAAGAAGGUUGAUUAAUUCAGGUGAGAAAUGUUGGAUACGAAAAUUUGCCGCCCCAUUACCUGUUAGUGUGUCUGUCUCUACACAAUUUUGUGGUACGGUUACAGCAGCUGAAGUUCAAUUACAAACAGAUAUUCCUACUUCAGGGAAAGCUAGUGCACUUUACAUGCUGGCAACAAAAUACAGCCAACUAGUGCCAAUUGGUUAAAUCCUCACUUUCUGCCCUGGUUAUGAUGCCACUCUUUCACUUAAGCAUGCCUGUUUGGGAUGGGGGGGAUUGGUAGAACUUGUCUGACCAAAUGCAGGGAUCCUUUUAACGGGAGGAAAAAAAUUCUGUCAUGCAUGCAGAUAUUACACUGGAAUGGGAACAAAUGCUGUAACACACAAGUCCAAGUGUCAAGUUUAGUCAUUUCAAUGCAGGUUUGUUCACACCCAACAAAAGGGUGAUUUGUUAGUCUGUUCAGUGAUUGUCAUUAGAGAUUUGGACCACUAUUUGUUUUGCUAUUCAUUCAAUUGUAGUCCCUAAAAGCCUUGUGGAACUGUUUGAAUCCCUGUGUAUCAGCUAUGUUAACAUGAAUAAAACAUUUUAUAAACCAA